GAUGAACGCUGGCGGCGUGCCUAAUACAUGCAAGUCGAGCAAACAGAUAAGGAGCUUGCUCCUUUGACGUUAGCGGCGGACGGGUGAGUAACACGUGGGUAACCUACCUAUAAGACUGGAAUAACUCCGGGAAACCGGGGCUAAUGCCGGAUAACAUUUAGAACCGCAUGGUUCUAAAGUGAAAGAUGGUUUUGCUAUCACUUAUAGAUGGACCCGCGCCGUAUUAGCUAGUUGGUAAGGUAACGGCUUACCAAGGCAACGAUACGUAGCCGACCUGAGAGGGUGAUCGGCCACACUGGAACUGAGACACGGUCCAGACUCCUACGGGAGGCAGCAGUAGGGAAUCUUCCGCAAUGGGCGAAAGCCUGACGGAGCAACGCCGCGUGAGUGAUGAAGGUCUUCGGAUCGUAAAACUCUGUUAUUAGGGAAGAACAAAUGUGUAAGUAACUGUGCACGUCUUGACGGUACCUAAUCAGAAAGCCACGGCUAACUACGUG
Molecule: ribosomal RNA, 497 nt
Filed under: uncultured bacterium
Lineage: Bacteria
Description: partial 16S ribosomal RNA
Rfam family: Bacterial small subunit ribosomal RNA
Source: RNAcentral